GGAUGUGAGGCCGAUCUGGCUGCAACAUAUGUUACCCCAUUGACUGCCAGGGUUGAUUCAGCUGAUCUGGCUGGCUAGGCGGGUGUGUCCCCUUCCUCCCUCACUGCUCUAUGUCCCUCCCGAAGCUGCACGCUCAGUCAAAGAGGAUGAAUAGAGACGGACAGAUCUUCAGUCAAGGGUAUACGAGUAGCUGCACUCCCCUACUAGAACCUCCAAACAAGCGCUCAAGGCCCCACCAAUAUGACAAUAGCUGUCUAUAAAUUAUUAUUACCAUAAUAUAAAAACAAAUUUUAAAAUAUAU
Molecule: small nuclear RNA, 301 nt
Filed under: Erinaceus europaeus (western European hedgehog)
Lineage: Eukaryota; Metazoa; Chordata; Mammalia; Eulipotyphla; Erinaceidae
Description: 7SK RNA
Rfam family: 7SK RNA
About the family: 7SK was discovered as an abundant small nuclear RNA in the mid-70s but a possible function has only recently been suggested. Two independent studies have found that 7SK RNA binds the CDK9/cyclin T complex (known as elongation factor P-TEFb). P-TEFb activates transcription by phosphorylating the C-terminal domain of RNA polymerase II.
Source: Rfam by way of RNAcentral